Molecule: ribosomal RNA, 344 nt
Filed under: uncultured bacterium
Lineage: Bacteria
Description: bacterial SSU rRNA
Rfam family: Bacterial small subunit ribosomal RNA
Source: RNAcentral
GACGAACGCUGGCGGCGUGCUUAACACAUGCAAGUCGAAGCGGUAAGGCCCUUUCGGGGGUACACGAGCGGCGAACGGGUGAGUAACACGUGGGUGACCUGCCCUCAGCUCUGGGAUAAGCCCGGGAAACUGGGUCUAAUACCGGAUAUGACUCCACGGUGCAUGUCGUGGGGUGGAAAGCCUUGUGCGGCUGAGGAUGGGCCCGCGGCCUAUCAGCUUGUUGGUGGGGUGAUGGCCUACCAAGGCGACGACGGGUAGCCGGCCUGAGAGGGCGACCGGCCACACUGGGACUGAGACACGGCCCAGACUCCUACGGGAGGCAGCAGUGGGGAAUCUUGCGCAAU